This 81-nucleotide antisense RNA is filed under the name Idiomarina xiamenensis 10-D-4. RNAcentral's name for it is "Idiomarina sp. 10-D-4 antisense RNA of dnaA mRNA". It matches the Rfam family "antisense RNA of dnaA mRNA". Lineage: Bacteria; Pseudomonadati; Pseudomonadota; Gammaproteobacteria; Alteromonadales; Idiomarinaceae. The record is from Rfam by way of RNAcentral.
UUUUGCGUUUUUCUUGUGCGCCAAAAUGCCGUUACCGACGGCAUGCAACAAGUGGGUCUUACCUAAACCCGUGCCACCGUA